Molecule: long non-coding RNA, 2479 nt
Filed under: Nicotiana tabacum (common tobacco)
Lineage: Eukaryota; Viridiplantae; Streptophyta; Magnoliopsida; Solanales; Solanaceae
Description: long non-coding RNA (NTAB_LNC002557)
Source: RNAcentral
CCUAUAGGCUAGGCUCAAACCAUUUGAGGUUGGCCUUUCGAUUGGGCUGCAGGUUCAGCCCCUUUCUUUCUUAUUGAACAAACAAUUUUUUUUUCUUCAGUUCCAUAAGUGGGCUUGAAGCCCAGCUCCUCUACAUCACUACUAUUUUGUAAGGCAUGGGAAACACAUAGCUGAAUUCCUAAAUACAGUUAAUCAAAACAUGAAAACUAAAAAUAACCAUUACAUUCUUCAAAUAAUUUAAGAAAACUCUCAAAUUACAUUAAUACCUAUGGAAUACAUAAACUAAGUUGUACUAAAGCUAAUCUAUUACAGAUCUUGGUUAACUGAUAUCAUGAAGAAUCCCUCCUCCUUUGGACAUGGUUUGUCCAUUAGAGCCUGGUCCCCUUUUGUGUUAGCAUGAUGUAAACUCCAAUUUCUAGCCUUUAAACCUGCUGAUUUGGCCAAUAAAUAGCCAAAUCCGUAGGUAUCAGCUUAUAACAGCACAAACAAAGGACAAAUAAAAGGAUUUAAAUAAAAAGGAAAGUUAUAUGUCCAAACAAAAGGUAAGAAACUGAAAAAAAAAACUCAAAACCAGCCCUAAUGGUUAACUUUGCAGGAUUGAAACUCAUAAAACAUUCAGACAUAGAUCAACUUGCUCAAGCUCAAAAUCUAAACUCACAUGUUCAGGAUUCAACUAUAUUCAUAUUAUUAAGGCUAAAUACUAUCAUAAAAAGACAUUCAUUUGCACCAAACAUUAUUUACAUGCAACUGAUUUCACAUUUCUUUAAUAACAAACAUUACAUGAGGAGAAUGAAAUUCAGUACAUUGCACAACAACAACAACAUAUCAACUAAAAGGUGCAAGAACUGGCUGAAACUCUAACCAGAAAGAGCAACAACAGGAUAGGAACCACAUCAGACCAAAAACCAAGUUUCAGACUCAAAAUCAAACACUUGAACCCAGAAAAUGAACAACUGAACCAAGAAACUCCCUAUUUCAAAUCAUUUCCAACUUGUAAAGAAUCAGAAGCAAAAUGAGGAGUUUUAAGAUUUCUGAAAAAAUAUGUUGUGAUUUCAGGGAUUUUGUGCAGAAUAUUGAAGCUGAAUCUGUAUGAAAAAUCUAUAUCCAAAUUUGUAUUUUUUAGAAUGAUUGAACCUAUAUAUAGGCUGCCUAUGGAGAAGGUAUCUUUUAAGCAUAUUCCUUAUCCUAAGGAAUAAUGGUACAGUCCUUUUAACAGCCCUUGGUACAGCUGUCCUAUAUUUCAGCACAUUUUUAUAACAGCUAGGACAUCCGUGCAUUUUCUAGAAAUUUCUGAUUUUCAGCUUAAGUAAAACCCCCUUUUUACCUUUUAGGUUACUACUUAUUUCAGUCUUAAUCUAAACAUUUCUAAUUCAAAUGGAUCCUUAAAGUUUUUACUGAUUUUCACAUCAGGGCCAACAUAAACAAACCUAAAGAAGAUCAAAAAUCUAAAUCAAAAGCCUAGAAGGAUCAUGAGACUACCACCUAGAAUUAAAAUCUAAAUUAUUCCCUAAAAGAAGAAGUUCUCUAAACAAAAAAACUGAGUUAUGACAUCUAAAAAGAGAAGGAAAAGACAAGGAGAUAGCAGGAAAAUAUUCAAAGAAAAACAGUGUCACCGAUUCAAACUCAUGCAAUUUGAGUAUUCAAGAUUCAAACAUGCUUUUAAUCAAUCGAAAACAAAUAAAUAACUAAACAUGUGAACGAAAAUCUGAACUUAGCCUAAACAUGCAACUAGUCAGAAAAGAAAAAAUAAAAUUACGGAGAAAAUUGGGUAACAAAACAAGCCAAACUAAAAACAAAACCUAAAACAACAUUAUCAGUUCCUAAUGGCCAAAUGCAAAACAAGAAAACUGGAACAUGCAAUUUGCAGACAGAACAAAACUCAAAGGAAAAUCAAACAAAAGAAAAGAGAAAGAAGUGGCUAGGAGAAAAGAAAAAGGAGAAUAAGAUAGAAAGAAAAAAAACUUGGAAAAUUACCUAUAAUAAAACAAUUGGAGCCGGAGGACUUGGUCGGAGUCAGGCCACUUCGAACAAUAGGUCCAAACCACAUGAGUCAACUACCCUCAUCAAAAGCAGUUUGGCUCAUGUAGAAUAGAGCCAUCUAAAACCCGGAAUCAAUUCUGGCAAAGGUUUUUUAAGCCUUAUGAAUCUAAGAUCUAAAAUUCGGGUAAAUUGGGGGUGAUUUGGAAGGGGAUAAAGGUAAUUUAGGGCUUAGAGAGGAGUAAGGGUUGUAGGGUGUGAAUUUGGAAUAACUAGGAUUUUGGCUGUGUCUUUCGAUUUAAGAUUUGAAGAGACCGACAAUGAUUCGAGGGAAAGGGAGUGGAGAUUUGGAAUGGGGAGGUGAAGGGGAGUUUGUGGUGUUAUUUUGGGGACGAUUGGACCACCGGAACUGCCGUGAGGCGAUUUUCGGUGGAGGCGGCGUGGGAUUAAAGGGUGGCUAGGGUUUGGGUGAUUUACAGAGAGAGAUGGAAAGUGAAAGGGU